Molecule: non-coding RNA, 46 nt
Filed under: Trichobilharzia regenti
Lineage: Eukaryota; Metazoa; Platyhelminthes; Trematoda; Strigeidida; Schistosomatidae
Source: RNAcentral
AUCCAGAUGACGGGUCGAAAAAUAGGACGAAAUGCACAUCCUGGGU